UGGUUUGACCUUUUCUUUCUUUCUUUUUUUUUUUUAACAAAAAAUAAAAAUCUGUUUAUGAAUCAGUGAGACAUUCUAUAAUAUUCCUAAGGAAAAUCUUACAGAAUAGCUUCAAAAUUACUUCUGGUCUCCUUUAUUUUUCUCAUAAUAUUACUUUCUCAGCUUCUUUGUAUGUCAGUACCAUAAUCCUACUGUUUUAACCAGCUGAGGUAGAAUCACUGUAUCACUAGCACCCUCCAAUGGUAAAUCUUGGGUUUUCCUCCCCGAAGUGAAGAUAAGUUUGAGCAAAAAUCUGUCUUCCUGUCUGACAAAGAGCUUCCAAAUUUUGUUCUAGCUCACAUCUCACUUCUUUCCAUCAGAACUCUGCUAAACACCUUCCUAGACAUGAUUAACAAAAUAAUCUCCAUUUUAUUUUGCAGUCACUUUUUCUUUUUCUUUUCUCCAUAUAAAAGAACUAUAACAGCUUUCUUCCAGGAUUCAGGCAUGGUGGAGCCUUCCUAUACUAAAUAAAUUAUUCAGCCAUAAGCAAGCUACAUUCUACUUUUAAUAUUUCCACACUGACCCAAUGUAUAUAUGCAGCCUUACAUUUUUUAUAUUCUCACAAUAUUUAUAACUUCUUUUUAUUUUUCCCUUGCACAUUAACAUUUGUAACAGUCAUAAUCAGAACAUUUCAACAGGAAAUAAAAUCACAGAAAUAAUCAGGUUAAAGUUGGUUCAAAAUCUGGCAGAUUUACAAAUGCUCAUAUAUAAUAAAGCCUCUACAGACUGCCACUGAUUUCUAUAAUUUGAAAUUAACAUGUUUUAUUAUCUCAUUACAGGUUGCUACACUUGUACAUUGCAUUUCAUCCUUUUGAAAAACUCAAGCAUGGCGUCCAUUCGUAUUUCUCUACGUUAAACUAUGGACAUUUCUUUGGAUCUUACUCUGGGUCUAGGCAUAAAACAGCCAUGGCUCUCUUGAUCUCAGAGUAAUCUAGACUAGGCUGUUUCUGAAUCAGGUCUCUAAAACAAAUUGGAUAGUCUAUGCUCACUCCUAACUUGUAAUAAUUCAAGUUCUGAUUAUUCCUUUUAUUUCGCGCCAAAAAUGACAAUAUUGAAUUAGAGGAUUUCUGCCAUUAUUAAGUUCAAUGCAAACCAUUGCAGAAGUAAGCUACACUACCCAGUCAAUAACCUAGAUAUUCUGUCCUCUUGACCUCACCAUCUAUCCAAAAUGCUAUCAUUAGGGAGAUUGAUUUCUGAUCGUAUUGUAGAGCCCAUAAACAGCAGCAGCUGUGUUGACCUUUAAGAGAGAAAUUCUGUUAUCUAGAGAGGCAAUCCUAUUAGUGGGGCUGCAUUUUUUAGAAAUCUUCUUCAGGUAAAAUAGCUAAAACCCCAGGAAAAAAAAUCUAGGGAAGACAAUGUGUCUGAUAUUUGAGCCAUCCCUGUACAUGUUUAUACAGUAUUCUUAGAUGAAGCAUGCAAACAUUUCUCUUAUUAGAUAAAAGGUUAUCUAGGGUCAUUUUUAAUUGAGAAAGGACCAAUUAAUAACUGAAUCCCCUCCUCUUUUUUCUUUUCUUUUUUCUUUUCUUCUUAUCAUGACAUUUUAUGCAAGUGCUUUGUUGCAUAAAAUGUUGUCGGUCUUUCAGGUGUAUCACUGCCACUUGCAACAUGCCUGAGCCCUGGAGCAAUUGAUCAAAGUUGAAGUUCUUUGAAGCUUCUGAAUUACAAUAGGAUACAUUUGUUCUGUUCCUCGGUUGUGUUGUGUAAGUGUCUAUAGUUCUCAGAGGCAUCCAGGAUUAACCUUGAUGGUCACAGGAGAUGACCAGGCAGAGCCUGAAGGUGGAGUCAAACACAUCAUCAGUCUGAAAUCCCUACGAUCCUAAAAGAUACCUAAGUCCAGCCCUCCUUGAAGUCCAUUGAUUCUUAUCCAUGCCAAUUUGCCUUAACUGUUAGUUGAUCAGAUUCUUGUAUAGGCUUCAGGGAAUAAAUUUGCAGUGCUUUUGAAUUCCUGGUUUCCUGA
Molecule: long non-coding RNA, 1996 nt
Organism: Crotalus tigris (Tiger rattlesnake)
Lineage: Eukaryota; Metazoa; Chordata; Lepidosauria; Squamata; Viperidae
Exons: 3
Source: RefSeq, a predicted model, not a curated record